This 429-nucleotide ribosomal RNA is filed under the name Pseudomonadota bacterium. Its description in RNAcentral is "Proteobacteria bacterium partial 16S ribosomal RNA". It matches the Rfam family "Bacterial small subunit ribosomal RNA", at positions 355 to 776 of the family's 1533-position model. The record is from RNAcentral. Lineage: Bacteria; Pseudomonadati; Pseudomonadota.
UGGGGAAUAUUGGACAAUGGGCGAAAGCCUGAUCCAGCCAUGCCGCGUGUGUGAAGAAGGUCUUCGGAUUGUAAAGCACUUUAAGUUGGGAGGAAGGGCAGUAAGCGAAUACCUUGCUGUUUUGACGUUACCGACAGAAUAAGCACCGGCUAACUCUGUGCCAGCAGCCGCGGUAAUACAGAGGGUGCAAGCGUUAAUCGGAAUUACUGGGCGUAAAGCGCGCGUAGGCGGCUAAUUAAGUCAAAUGUGAAAUCCCCGAGCUUAACUUGGGAAUUGCAUUCGAUACUGGUUAGCUAGAGUGUUGGAGAGGAUGGUAGAAUUCCAGGUGUAGCGGUGAAAUGCGUAGAGAUCUGGAGGAAUACCGAUGGCGAAGGCAGCCAUCUGGCCUAACACUGACGCUGAGGUGCGAAAGCAUGGGGAGCAAACAGG